CGGGGGGAGCAAGCGUUGUUCGGAUUUACUGGGCGUAAAGGGCGCGUAGGCGGCGCAACAAGUCACUUGUGAAAUCUCCGGGCUUAACCCGGAGCGGCCAAGUGAUACUGUCGUGCUAGAGUGCGGAAGGGGCUACUGGAAUUCUCGGUGUAGCGGUGAAAUGCGUAGAUAUCGAGAGGAACACCUGCGGCGAAGGCGGGUAGCUGGGCCGACACUGACGCUGAGGCGCGAAAGCCAGGGGAGCGAACGGGAUUAGAUACCCCGGUAGUCCUGGCCCUAAACGAUGGAUACUUGGUGUCCGGGGUUACAUAGUCCCCGGGUGCCGGCGCUAACGCAUUAAGUAUCCCGCCUGGGGAGUACGGUCGCAAGACUG
Molecule: ribosomal RNA, 373 nt
Filed under: uncultured organism
Description: bacterial SSU rRNA
Rfam family: Bacterial small subunit ribosomal RNA
Source: RNAcentral